UCUCAGUUCGGAUCGGAGUCUGCAACUCGACUCCGUGAAGCUGGAUUCGCUAGUAAUCGCGCAUCAGCCAUGGCGCGGUGAAUACGUUCCCGGGCCUUGUACACACCGCCCGUCAAGCCAUGGGAGCCGGGGGUACCUGAAGUCCGUAACCGCGAGGAUCGGCCUAGGGUAAAACUGGUGACUGGGGCUAAGUCGUAACAAGGUAAC
RNAcentral lists this ribosomal RNA (207 nucleotides) under uncultured bacterium. RNAcentral describes it as "partial 16S ribosomal RNA". It matches the Rfam family "Bacterial small subunit ribosomal RNA", at positions 1286 to 1500 of the family's 1533-position model. The record is from RNAcentral.